CAGCAUAAGUAAUUGAGUUCAUCACACAUGCUCACUUACAGCUGAAUUUCAGGUUGUAUAGUAGCAGAGUGUAUCAUCUCCUCAACGUGACUAAGGAGUGACCUCAUCCCAGCUGAUUACGGCAUUGCGGGUCAUCCUAAAUUUCUUGCGAUCAUCAAGGCAACGUGGGAAGCUUACGUUGGAAGCUGUAGUGCAUCAAUAUACGUGAGUGAUUGAAUAGAACUCAUUUCUGUUAUAGCAUUUUUAUAUUAUAAUGGCUGGUAGGAAAGGUAAUACAGACCAAUCCUAUACACCUCUCGGUACCAAGGCUCCGACUUGGAGUUCGCCUCAGGCAACAAGAAGACGUAAUAUUGAUAACUUCUUUAAUCCUAUUGAGCAAGGUGAUAAGUCGCUGCGUCUGUCCGAUAGCCGUCCACCCCAAAAAUCGAAAGCCCAGUUAGAUGUGGAGGCAGCGGCCACGGAGGCAAGGGAAAGUCAGCGUUUAAAAUAUAAGGCACAGGCAGGAGCGUCAUUCUUCAGUUCGGUUGAAGGAGGGGGUAACUCAUUACACUUGACAUCGGGUCGUGUUUGUGGUCAAAAUAAUCCAGCCGACAGGUCACCAGAAAGUCCUUCCAAACCAGUAGAGGAACAGCCAGUAGAAACGGAACAAACAGAAGAUAAAAAUCAAGAUGCGAGGAAAGAAUCUUUGACUUUACCAUUAGAAGGUCAAACCAGUGAAGAUGAAACGAAAAAACGACCAAAGAAAGAAGGGGGAGAACUUGGAGGUGAUGAAAUGCGAGGGCUAUUGUAUUCCAACGUGUCAGUUGAAGAACCAAGCUCAGAGACAGCCCAAAACAGACUUCUUAUCAAAGGCGGCAGGAUCGUGAAUGCCGAUCGUAUGUUUGAUGCUGACAUCUACAUUGAAGAUGGAAUUAUACGACAAAUUGGGGAAAACCUUAUUACUCCUGGAGGAGCCAAACAGAUUGAUGCCAAAGGCAAGCUCAUCAUUCCAGGCGGAAUUGACACCCACACUCACAUGGAAAUGCCCUUCAUGGGAACCAGGGCGGUUGAUGAUUUCUACCAUGGAACCAAAGCUGCACUGGCUGGUGGCACCACUAUGAUCAUCGACCACUGUCUUCCCCAAAAAAAUCAGUCAUUAUUGGAGGCGUACGAAGACUGGUCAACGAGAGCUGCAGAAAGAGCGUGCUGUGAUUAUUCCUUCCAUGUCGGCAUUACGUGGUGGAGUGAGGAGGUCAAGAAGGAGAUUGAGGUUCUCUGCAAGGAGAAAGGUAUAAACUCUUUUAAGAUGUUUAUGGCAUAUAAGGGACUGUUUAUGUUGAAUGACGAUGAAAUUUAUCAAGCAAUGUGUGCAUUGAAGGAACAGGGAGCCCUUGCAUUAAUGCAUGCUGAGAAUGGUCACCUUAUCAAUGAGUGUUGCAAGAAGAUGCUUGCUUUAGGAAUCACAGGACCGGAAGGUCAUGAACUUUCACGACCCGAAGAGGUUGAGGAAGAGGCGACUACACGCGCAAUUGUCAUCGCCAACCAGGCACAGUGUCCACUUUACAUUGUCCAUGUUAUGAGCAAAAGCGCAGCAAACGCAAUCACUAAAGCCCGUCGGGAAGGCAAAGUUGUAUUUGGCGAGCCGAUCGCAGCUUCUCUAGGUGUUGAUGGUACCCACUACUGGGACAAGGAUUGGUCUCAUGCUGCAGCGUACGUCAUGGGCCCUCCUCUUAGACCAGACACAACCACGCCUGGCUACUUAAUGGAUCUUUUAGCAAAUGGUGAUCUGCAACUCACUGGAACAGAUAAUUGUACAUUCAAUCCAGACCAAAAGGCACUGGGAAGGGAUGAUUUUACCAAGAUUCCUAACGGAGUAAACGGUGCAGAGGACAGGAUGUCAGUCAUAUGGGAGAAGGGUGUGUACACUGGCAAAAUGGAUCCAUGUCGUUUUGUAGCCGUCACCAGUACCAAUGCUGCUAAAAUAUUCAAUUUUUAUCCAAAGAAGGGUGUUAUCCAAAUUGGUUCAGAUGCUGAUCUUGUUAUUUGGGAUCCAAAUGCAACCAGGAAAAUCUCCAAGGACACUCACCAUCAUGCUGUUACUGUUAAUAUUUUUGAAGGCAUGGUGUGCCAUGGAGUACCUCUUGUAACCAUUAGUAAUGGGAGAAUUGUAUGGGAAGAUGAACAGCUUCAUGUUACCCAAGGUGCAGGACGUUUUGUCGCUCGAGGGGUACACGCUGCAGAAGCAUAUGCCAAGAUAUUGAUUCGAGAUAAAGUCAGAGUGCCCCAGGGUGUGGAUCGUGAAGCGUACGAUGGUCCGGUUUGGAACUCAGCCAACGCACCAGCCAAUAACAUUAGCAAGUCUGCACCAAAACCGACAUUUAGUCAAGACCGACCAUCCACACGUCACGGUCACCGUGACUUACACGCCUCAGGUUUCAGUUUAUCAGGUGCCCAAACAGAUGAUAACGUCAGAGAUCGCACCGCAUACAAGGUUAUGGCGCCCCCUGGUGGUCUAUCAAGCAUAACGUUCUAGUAGAAUUCAUAUCUCAGCAUUCCCAACCACUGUCAUAAAUGGGACCCCGUUACUCAGGAAACCAAGUGGAUGAUAACGUGAGAGCAAAGGUUGGACAUAAAGUGCUUGCACCACCAGGCGGUAAAACCAGCAUCAUAUUUUAGAGAAGAAAAUUUUAAUCUAGAAUUUUAAAUAUAACUUGGAUGUUACUUUUUAUGUGCCUGCUAUGUAUAUACUGAAUGGGUGUAUUCAACAGACUGCUUGAUGUGGUAGAGCAAAGGUCAUGUCAGAAGUGAUGUAAGGAAAUGUCAUUCACAAGUUAAUUGUGGCCCUGAACAUGUAUACUUGUUACAUGUUCCUGAACAUGUAUACUCAUUACAUGUUGUAUUGAAAGAUUUAAUACAAAUGAGUGAAUGCAGCUUAUAGAUGACGUCUCAGAGUUUAGAAUUAGUUUUGAUGGAUAAUUUAAUAUGCUACUACUUAUAAAAAAUAUUAACCAAUCAUUGGAAAGUGCUCCUUGCCAGUUUAACCAAUAAUUGAGUGCUCCAAAGGCCAAAGGUCAUCUAAAUUAUAUUCUAUAAAUAGAAUAAGUGCAACAGAUUUUAUGCUAUUGGCCAGCCAUGAUGAUGAGGAUAACAAUCUCGGAAAUGAUUGGCUAUGUUGAAGCCUCUUGUUACCAAGGUGAACAUAUUUAUAUUAGAAAUGAUUGGGGUUUUUUUUUUAAAACCAAGUUGGGCAUAUUAAAUUGGUAAAAAUAUUCAUUUGUUUAAAGAAAUCAAGAAAUAGUUCUGUUACAUUUUUAGAUAUUCAAAAUUUAAAUUACUUGAAUUUAAAUCAUGUGCUGCCAUAAUAGGAGUCUUCCUGGCAAUUAAUCCCAUAAUCCUUUUGAUCUGUUCCCUUGGUUUGUAUAGUAUUUGUAAUGAUUUACCAUUUAGCAGAUCAAAUUUUAAAUCAAUUGAUUUUAAUUAUCUUGGUGCCAUAACCUUUUAAUCAUUUCAAUCCCGCUUAAUUUGUAUAGUAUUUGUAUUGAAUUCCCUUUUCCCAUAAUAUAUUGGUGUAAAAUUUCCUAGUGGCAUGAUUGUAUCCAUUCCUGUGCACUUGUAUUUAGAGCAGUUAACCUGCAGGACGUGUCAUCUGUAUAACAUGGUAUAUAGUAGUAUAUCUUGAUUUAAAUGGACAAGUUAUUGCUUUUGACUGUUAUAAUUUCAGUGUUUGCUCUAAAUAAUUACAAUUCUUUUAACAUCAGAUAAAACCUUCAGUCUUGUUCAACAGAGAAUAAUUACUAUGGAAAUUACCAAAAACAUGUGUGGUUGUAAGCUUAAGGGAAGGUGCAUAUUAUUUAAUGUAAUUGAUAAAGGAACACAAAUACAGCACACAUUUCUGUGUGGAAUAUAUCUAUUAAACGCACAAUGUUUAGAUUACAGUAGUAUACAGACUAAUCAAUUUAUGCUCAGAAAUCAAAAUUAAUUCUGGUCUGAAUUAAAAAAUCACUUCACUUUGUGUACUUGACCAAAUAAUAGCAGUGAGAUUUAACUUUUGCAUUUUUACAAUCUGUGCAAUUAAGCCUUUGUGUACCAAUGAUAUAUGAAGUAACAUUUUUCUGGAAUAUCAGUUUGUAAAUUUUACAUGAAAGUACAGUAACAGUACAUUUGUCUCGAUUUCAGUACUUAAAUUUGUCAAUUGAAAAAAAAAACACAUUUAUUUAAAAGUUUAUCAGCGAAUGGUUUAUUUCUUUGCAUGCUGCAAAGGAUUUGGGGAAUUAUUAUUAUUAAGUUGCAAUUUCGAUAUUUGGAUCACCGGUAAUAGAAUACCGCUGAUCAAGGUAUUAUUUCUUCCAUAAUUUUUUUUUUUACAUUUGGUGUUUUUAAACAGACUAUGUUUAGACAUGUUAUAUUCUUGUGUAAGAUUUUCAAUGUAGGUAUAUUGUAUUGUGUAUACUAUUACUGAUCAUGUGACUUGCAUAUUGGAAUUAUCAUAAUGAUAAUUAUUAGAUUGAUCAUUCGCAUACAGCAUACAGUGUCAAUAAAUGAAAUAAUGUUGUUGUUCA
Molecule: RNA transcript, 4538 nt
Organism: Anneissia japonica
Lineage: Eukaryota; Metazoa; Echinodermata; Crinoidea; Comatulida; Comatulidae
Gene name: dihydropyrimidinase-like
Exons: 18
Source: RefSeq, a predicted model, not a curated record